RNAcentral lists this ribosomal RNA (1275 nucleotides) under Microbacterium sp. RNAcentral describes it as "bacterial SSU rRNA". It matches the Rfam family "Bacterial small subunit ribosomal RNA", at positions 67 to 1352 of the family's 1533-position model. The record is from RNAcentral. Lineage: Bacteria; Bacillati; Actinomycetota; Actinomycetes; Micrococcales; Microbacteriaceae.
CGGUGAACACGGAGCUUGCUCUGUGGGAUCAGUGGCGAACGGGUGAGUAACACGUGAGCAACCUGCCCCUGACUCUGGGAUAAGCGCUGGAAACGGCGUCUAAUACUGGAUAUGUGACGUGACCGCAUGGUCUGCGUCUGGAAAGAAUUUCGGUUGGGGAUGGGCUCGCGGCCUAUCAGCUUGUUGGUGAGGUAAUGGCUCACCAAGGCGUCGACGGGUAGCCGGCCUGAGAGGGUGACCGGCCACACUGGGACUGAGACACGGCCCAGACUCCUACGGGAGGCAGCAGUGGGGAAUAUUGCACAAUGGGCGCAAGCCUGAUGCAGCAACGCCGCGUGAGGGACGACGGCCUUCGGGUUGUAAACCUCUUUUAGCAGGGAAGAAGCGAAAGUGACGGUACCUGCAGAAAAAGCGCCGGCUAACUACGUGCCAGCAGCCGCGGUAAUACGUAGGGCGCAAGCGUUAUCCGGAAUUAUUGGGCGUAAAGAGCUCGUAGGCGGUUUGUCGCGUCUGCUGUGAAAUCCGGAGGCUCAACCUCCGGCCUGCAGUGGGUACGGGCAGACUAGAGUGCGGUAGGGGAGAUUGGAAUUCCUGGUGUAGCGGUGGAAUGCGCAGAUAUCAGGAGGAACACCGAUGGCGAAGGCAGAUCUCUGGGCCGUAACUGACGCUGAGGAGCGAAAGGGUGGGGAGCAAACAGGCUUAGAUACCCUGGUAGUCCACCCCGUAAACGUUGGGAACUAGUUGUGGGGUCCAUUCCACGGAUUCCGUGACGCAGCUAACGCAUUAAGUUCCCCGCCUGGGGAGUACGGCCGCAAGGCUAAAACUCAAAGGAAUUGACGGGGACCCGCACAAGCGGCGGAGCAUGCGGAUUAAUUCGAUGCAACGCGAAGAACCUUACCAAGGCUUGACAUAUACGAGAACGGGCCAGAAAUGGUCAACUCUUUGGACACUCGUAAACAGGUGGUGCAUGGUUGUCGUCAGCUCGUGUCGUGAGAUGUUGGGUUAAGUCCCGCAACGAGCGCAACCCUCGUUCUAUGUUGCCAGCACGUAAUGGUGGGAACUCAUGGGAUACUGCCGGGGUCAACUCGGAGGAAGGUGGGGAUGACGUCAAAUCAUCAUGCCCCUUAUGUCUUGGGCUUCACGCAUGCUACAAUGGCCGGUACAAAGGGCUGCAAUACCGCGAGGUGGAGCGAAUCCCAAAAAGCCGGUCCCAGUUCGGAUUGAGGUCUGCAACUCGACCUCAUGAAGUCGGAGUCGCUAGUAAUCGCAGAUCAG